UUUGGAGACACAAAACCUUGUACAUUCCCUAUAAAAAAGCAAGAUUGCAUCAAAGAAAAAACUAGACUCCAUCAUCAGUUUCUACCUCCAAAUGGAAUAUCCCCAAGGCCCUGAACUUCAACUAGUCAUUUAAGUUGAAAAGGGGCAACAAUCUAAUUACAAAAUUAGUCAGGAGCAACCGAGUUAGACAUACUUCUAGGCCUGGUCAUCCCCUUUAAAUAAUUGUUGAAUUAAGUAAACAAAGAAAUGUGUAAACUGCUGCAUGAAUGCAAUGGAACCCAGACGAAUGCAGCAAACCGCCCUCACCAGAUCAAAGCUACAUCUAAAUAUAGCAAUGGGGGAACCACAUAAAGUUCAGUUUGAUAAGUAUCCAAAGCGUAUGGAGGAACACAUCAAGCUCCAAAGUCUUUGCGCUCCCCCUUCCAUCAACAAGCUCCUAUACCCUUAUCUGAUGUGGGGAUGGUAAAGACUACUUCCAUGUGCCCACCCUCCUUCUGUGACUCUGGCAUUGGUGAUAAGCCUGCCCACCUUUUUAGUGUCUUCUUUCUCCUAAUCCAAGAGACAGGUAGCUCUUUGCCUUUCAUCACAUCCCCCAGGAGGAUCAGCACAGAGCCACUCACUCACAAGGAUUUGGGGUAGAUGUUGAUCACUUAAGUCUUGGCAGAUGGUUGCUAGGGAAACCCCAUGCCUUUGGAAUGUGACAGACACCAGACAAAAACCUGCUUUGGUUUGAUUUUUUUUUUCCAGCAGCGGGGGUGGGGGGCUUAUCAGUCUGCCUGACUCAGAGAAAGCACAUAAAAUGCAGCAGUUCCUCUGAGACAACAAAUCAAAAAUGGUUUCUAAUGAGCCUCCUGAAUACACGGGAUAACUUCAACCAGUCAAGUAGCAGAGGAAAUACUAUUCGACUUCAACUAUUUGAUUCCCACCAGAAGUCCCCCAGCAGUAACAGAAUAAUACUCUUCAGAUUUUCACAUAAGAGAAACAUCACAGAGGAUGAACUUAACAUCAAUCUCUGGGAUAUUUUCUAUCAGAGGGAACAAGGCUACUAGACCAACCAUCCCCUCCAGCCAGUGUUUGUAGGUGUUAGAAAUUAAAUUGCCUGAUCUGAAAUCAGACUGUACUCACUGAGGUAAUGGUGGGACCAAGAGAUACAAGUCAACGGCCAGCUGCUACCUUCCAGUUUGUGCAUGCAUUGUUUUGCAUCAACAAUCACCUGUCAAUUUAACAACAAAACUAACUUCUUGUUGACUGGUAAAUUAUCAAAGAAAUUCUUUGCUUCAUCUCCUUUUUCUUCAGUCAGCUUUUGCCCUCUACAUACAGAACAACACAGAUGUAGUGGUUAUGUAAUGAUGCCCGGAGGUAAAUAUGUCGCUCCUCUGCUAAUUUCACCACUGUGACAGAAUGUACCCAUGCCCACCCACUAUACACUAUUUUUGUACAAAGUAUGCCUUGUAAGGUAUCAUUUGAAAACUCAUAAUUUGAUGGUCAUCAUUGGCCUGGUAAUAUGUGUGGGGAAACAUUGUUCGUGAAGUUAUAAGAUUCCACUCUAUGGCAUUCUUAGCACAUAUUCCAAACUGGGUUUGGCAAACAGGUCUGUCUCAAACAAAGGAAUUUGCAGUCUGCUGAAUUUGCACUUUAGCAGUAAACAGAGUCAUCAAGCAGGACAGGAAACAAAGGAUGCUCCACCACGUAAGGAAAAGCAGCAGGGAACAUCCUUCCUUAUAGACUCUUUGUCUCCUGAAUCUCAGCUGGAAAUGUUUUUCAAGAAGGAGACUGACACUAUAAAAAGGAGAGACAAACACCCCAAGACAUGCUCCUCCCCCGCCCACUGCAUUUGUGGCCUCUAAAGGACACAGGAAGCAGCAAUGGACUGGAGAAGGGGUCCUGGCCUAUGAAAUAAGACUUCUGAAAGCAUAUGAUGAGAAAUUUAGCUUGAAUCUGAUAUAGUUUGUCAAGUUAGGCUCCAGUACCUUUUUAACUUUAUUUUCUUGUAAUCAUUUUUGACUUCUGACUUUUAUGUCUCAUCACUUCUAUUUACUUAAAAUCUAGCUCUUUGUCAUUAAUAAACUUGUUUUUGGUUUUA
Molecule: long non-coding RNA, 2083 nt
Organism: Caretta caretta (loggerhead turtle)
Lineage: Eukaryota; Metazoa; Chordata; Testudines; Cheloniidae
Source: RefSeq, a predicted model, not a curated record